GCUCAGCCACUACAGAGGAAACAAUGACUUCAACACAAAAGGACCAACAUGGAGCAAGAAGUCAGCGCUCUCAGGAGGCCGACAAACCUCACAGAAGAAAGGGAGAGAAAACAUACAGCUGUGAUGAGUGUGGGGCGGAUUUUACCCGGACUGACAGCCUAAAAAAACACCAAGUCAUCCACAGUGGAGUUAAAGCUUACAGCUGUGAGGAGUGUGGGAAGGAUUUUACCCAGGCUGGACACUUAAAAACACACCAACUCAUCCACAGUGGAGUUAAAGCUUACAGCUGUGAGGAGUGUGGGAAGGAUUUUACCCAGGCUGGACACUUAAAAACACACCAACUCAUCCACAGUGGAGUUAAAGCGUACAGCUGUGACUUGUGUGGAAAUUCUUUUAACCGGGCUGAAACCUUAAAAAGACACCAAGUCAUGCACAGUGGAGUUAAAGCUUACAGCUGUGAGGAGUGUGGGAAGGAUUUUACCCAGGCUGGACACUUAAAAACACACCAACUCAUCCACAGUGGAGUUAAA
Oreochromis niloticus (Nile tilapia) is the source of this 530-nucleotide long non-coding RNA. RefSeq lists it as uncharacterized. The record is from RefSeq and is a predicted model, not a curated record. The transcript is spliced from 2 exons. Lineage: Eukaryota; Metazoa; Chordata; Actinopteri; Cichliformes; Cichlidae.